UAGAGUUUGAUCCUGGCUCAGAACGAACGUUGGCGGCGUGGAUUAGGCAUGCAAGUCGAGCGAGGACACCAUCAUAGCAAUAUGGGGGUGAGUCGAGCGGCGUAAGGGGCAGUAAUACCUGGGAACGUACCCUUGUGUCGGGAAUAGCCACGGGAAACUGUGGGUAAUGCCCGAUAACACCGAGAGGUCAAAGGCUUGCCGCACAGGGAGCGGCCCAGGCGAUAUUAGCUGGUUGGUGGGGUAACGGCCUACCAAGGCAAAGAUGUCUAGCGGGUGUGAGAGCACGACCCGCGCCACUGGCACUGAGACACUGGCCAGACACCUACGGGUGGCUGCAGUCGAGGAUCUUCGGCAAUGAGCGCAAGCUUGACCGAGCGACGCCGCGUGCGGGAUGAAGGCCUUCGGGUUGUAAACCGCUUUGGUCCGGAAAUAAGGGGAAACCUUGAAUAACCGGAGAAACAAGCACGGGCUAAGUUCGUGCCAGCAGCCGCGGUAAGACGAACCGUGCGAACGUUGUUCGGAAUCACUGGGCUUAAAGGGCGCGUAGGCGGCCGAGCGGGUCGUGGGUGAAAUCCCCCAGCUUAACUGGGGAACUGCCUACGAUACCACUGCGGCUGGAGGAAGGCAGGGGCACUCGGAACUGUCGGUGGAGCGGUGAAAUGCGUUGAGAUCGACAGGAACGCCGGUGGCGAAAGCGGAGUGCUGGUCCUUUUCUGACGCUGAGGCGCGAAAGCCAGGGGAGCAAACGGGAUUAGAUACCCCGGUAGUCCUGGCCUUAAACGAUGAGAACUAUGUAGUGGGCUCGACCUGGCACACUGCCGCAGUGAAAAUCCUAAGUUCUCCGCCUGGGGAGUAUGGUCGCAAGGCUGAACUCAAGGAUUGACGGGGCUCACACAGCGGUGGAGCAUGUGGCUUAUUCGAGGCUACGCGAGACCUUACCCAGGCUUGACAUGUGCGAAGCGCAAGUGUACCCUGCGGAACGCAGGGAACCCCGCAAGGGGGACUUGG
RNAcentral lists this ribosomal RNA (1008 nucleotides) under uncultured bacterium. RNAcentral's name for it is "bacterial SSU rRNA". It matches the Rfam family "Bacterial small subunit ribosomal RNA", at positions 1 to 1032 of the family's 1533-position model. The record is from RNAcentral.